GCGUGUCGUAGUCCUUCGCUGUAGGGGCCGGGUCGCUUCACUUGUGUCGCGCCGACGCCGCCGCUGACCGUCUCUACCGGCCGCCACCGCGGCGGCGCAGCCGCGAUAGCUCGGGUACCUCCCGCGACGACGUCGCUCGCGACCUGCGGUUGCGCGUGGAGUUCGUGAGGUGGAAGAAGGUCGAGCGGUGCCACCCGCGGCGGCCGUCCGGCCGCUUAGCGUGGCAGCACAAGUCCCCCAAGGUUCUCGUCACGCUGUUCUAAGUCUAGUUAUGCCUACGCGCCUCGUUGUUCUAACCCCUCUAGUCCCUUACCGGGGAGCCGCUCUAUACGACCAUAAAGUGACUAAGCACCCUCGUUAAGGCAUAGUCGCCAUAGUAUCUACACUAGCUACCAAGGUCAGACCUAGGACGGUUCGAGGUCGUUGCUCUCUUUCGAACCAAGCGGUCAAGUCACUUCAGUUCUAGUGUUAUGAAUCCUGUUUCAGGUCCCCAAGGACAGCGUUUACUACUGGUGUAAUUCCUACAAGUAUAACUAGGUAGUCGACCGGGUCAACUACGGAUAACAGAAGACUGAGAACUAGGUCUUUUCCAACUAAUACACUUGGACUUUUCAUUAGUCUCUAACUACAAGUGUUCUUGGGUCCUUCCUCUACUCAAGUUACUGACCUACCGGCUUUUUCAAUCGGGUAUUACUGAGAAAAAACCUUUCCUUCUUGUCUUUCCAUGGUAAGUCCUAAAGAUGACCUCUACAAUUUUUAUACACGAACUAGACUUAAUGUCAGUAAACAUUUUUAAAUCGUAGAAAGAACAUUUUGAGUCUUAUAAACCCGUCCUCGGUAAUUCUCUACAAUUAUUAUACACGACUUAGACUAAAUGUCAGUAAACAUUUGUAAAAUAAACUUUUUCUUACCAGCUCGGGACGCUAAAGGCUA
Molecule: ribosomal RNA, 933 nt
Filed under: Triticum aestivum (bread wheat)
Lineage: Eukaryota; Viridiplantae; Streptophyta; Magnoliopsida; Poales; Poaceae
Description: partial small subunit ribosomal RNA
Source: RNAcentral